Molecule: long non-coding RNA, 1525 nt
Filed under: Heterocephalus glaber (naked mole-rat)
Lineage: Eukaryota; Metazoa; Chordata; Mammalia; Rodentia; Bathyergidae
Description: lncRNA (ENSHGLG00000035186.1)
Source: RNAcentral
AACGAAGGAAGUCCAUUCUUAGAUUCAAGAUGGAGGCUGGAGGGAGAAGAAACCUUUGGGGCAAUACGCAGUGUCUCAGGUUGCACAUGCACUGACCUGGCCUCUCCGCUGGGGCUGGUGCAGAAAGGCUUGCGGUGGUCAAGGAUGCCAAGGCUGGUUUGUAACAGGAAACCAGGUCAGAGCCCAUGUGUGGGGACUGGUUAAACCAGCACAGCCCAUGUCCCUUACUUGAACGACGAUGAUCUCUGACUGUGACCAAUGCGGUGUGGCGGACACAGCACUGUCUUCAAAUGACUACUCAAUUAUAGGCUGGAGGAACAAGAGCCCUGCUGCGCUGCGGGUCACUCUGACCUUGGAAAAUAUCUCACUCAACUUCCUUGAGGACUGGGAGGCACUGUCAAUUACUACAGUGAUGCAAGUUUUCACAGCACUAAACGAUGACUCAGAACCAGCUACGGGAACAUUAAACAAGCCCAAAGCCAUACUAGGACCCGGGACACACCCCCAAAAGAUGCCCUUCAAAUCAGACUAAGGCUCCUCUACCCAGGAGCCUGCACCACCAGCCCUGCGGAGCUCCAGCCCCAUCUCAGUGAGCUGAUGACCCCAAAGUUCAAGGUCUCCGUGGCGUGGACCUGCAGGCUCAGCAGCCCUGGACAGCCCUCUGGACAGGGGCAAAGGACAGAAACUGCAGCCAGUCCAGUCUCCAGAGGGCAGCAGGCCAGGCAGGCUGGGAGCACUGGCCAGGCACAGACCCCAGCAGGGACCUCAGCUCCCAGUGGCCAGUUUCUCCGUCCACCGUUUCUCUCACCUGAGCUCAACCGAAAAUGUGAAGUGGAAAUGCCAGAAAAAAAUCCUCUCCCAUCUCUGAUCCAUCUGGAAAACAUCUGGUUCCCGGGUACGGCAGGAUGCAGCGUCCCUGUCCCAGCCGGCUUCCCCAUCAUUCCGCCCAGCUCAGUGACUAAUCCUUUCUUCCCGGCCCAUGAGAAAUCGCUGUCCUCACCAAAACCCCAACUCCUGCCAGCGCCCUGGUGUUGAAGAGGAACAGCUAUGCGCCCCUGCCCCACAGUGGAUUGGCCCUGAGAUGUCCCUGCCUCAAGUGCAGCCCCAGGAGGAUGCUGGAUUCCGCUGGUGGAGGCGGCAGCCGCGGGGAACCCACGGUGCUGCUCAGGGCAGGGGCUCCAAACAUCCCAGCAGGAGAACGGAAGGCCCUGCGGUGGGGCAUUCUCAAAGCACCCAGCAUGCACGCCCCUCUGCCCCCAGCCAGCCUCUUCCGUUCUCGAUUCUCUGAGCUCAGGGCUGCUGGACUCUGAUGGGUGGAAAAUCCACUUAUACAUUUUUUCUUACUUAUACAUUGUCAUAUUUUCCAAAAUGACUAUAAUGAAACGCGUCCUUGUUCGCUUUCUUUAAAAAGCUGUAUUGUUAGAAAAGGAAGAGGAAGAGGGGGGAAAUGCAUAAGCAGCAGGGUCCAUGUGUCCCACCUCCAGCAGCCAGGUGCUCGCUCCCCAGUCCUACCCUCUGCUCCCCA